RNAcentral lists this long non-coding RNA (1994 nucleotides) under Homo sapiens (human). Its description in RNAcentral is "non-protein coding lnc-CISD2-9:1". The record is from RNAcentral. Lineage: Eukaryota; Metazoa; Chordata; Mammalia; Primates; Hominidae.
AUGAGUCAUGUGGUGAUUGAAAAUGUGCUUGGGCUGGACCAGCAGUUUGCUGGCCUAGACCUGGCCUAUUCAGAUAAUCAGAGUGGGGGAAGUACAGCCAGCAAAGGGCACUAUAUCCCUUUUCGUUGAGGAACAGAGCAGCUACUAAGGAUUCUACCAUAAAGACAGUUUAGGGUGGCGUUCUAGCAAAGAUAAGGAUGCCUACAGCAGUUUUGAAUCUCCUAAUGAUUCAAGCACUAAGUCUAGCUUCUUCAGAGAUCAUGGAAGUGGAUCAAGGGGAGGGUUUGAUAAUCAUGGAUGGAGUGAUUAUGAUGGCACUGGCAGCCAUUGUGACAGAAGUGGCUUUGGCAAAUUAGCAUGUGGUGAAAACAGUCACUGGUGUGACAAAUAAGAUGAAGAUGAUUGGUCAAAACCACUCCCACCAAGUGAAUGCUGGAACAGGAACUCUUUUCUGGAGGCAACACUGGGAUUAAUUUUGAGAAAUACGAUGACAUUCUAGUUGAGGCAACAGACAGCAAUUGUCCUCCACAUAUUGAAAGUUUCAGUGAUGUUGAGAUGGGAGAAACUAUCAUGGGAAACAUGGAGGUUAUUAUACUAGCCUGACUCCAGUGCAAAAGCAUGCUGUUACUAUUAGAAAAGAGAAAAGAGACUUGAUGGCUUGUGCCCAAACAGGGUCUGGAAAACUGCAGCAUUUCUCUUGCCCAUGUUGAGUCAGAUGUAUUCAGAUGGUCCAAAGGAGGCUUUGAGGGCCAUGAAGGAAAAUUAAAGGUGAGGGCGCAGCAAACAGUACCCAAUCUUCUUGGUAUUAGCCCCAAGAAGAGAAUUGGCAAUACAGAUCAAUGAGAAAGCAAGAAAAUUUUCGUACUGAUCUAGAGUUCCUCCUUGUGUGAUUUAUGGUGGUGCUGUUAUUGUUCAGCAGAUUUGAGUCUUAGAAGGUGGAUGGCACUUGCUACUAGCCACUCCAGGAUAUCUAGUGGAUAUGAUGGAAAGAGGAAAGAUUGGAUUAAACUUUUAUGAAUACUUGGUGUUAGAAGAAGCUGAUCAGAUGUUGGAUAUGGGGUUUGAGCCUCAGAUACAUAGAAAAGUUGAACAAGAUACCAUGCCUCCAAAGGGUGUCCACCAAACUAUGAUGUUUAGUGCUACUUGGCCUAAGGACAUACAGAUGCUCGCUCAUGAUUUCUUCAAUGAAUAUAUUAAUACCUUAUUGGCUGUAUGGAGGAGUUGGCUCUACCUCUGAGAACAUCACAAAGAAAGUUGUUUGGGUGGAAGAAUCAGACAAAGUUGUUUCUGCUUGACCUCCUAAUACAUCCACUUGAUCCCAGGCAAGUACGCACUAACCUUAGGUUUAUGGAGACCAAAAAGGGUUUUUAUUCUCUAGAGGAUAUCUUAUACCAUGAAGGAUAGUCAUGUACCAGUAUCUAUGGACACCAUUCUCAGAGGGAUAGGGAAGAAGCUCUUCACCAGUUACCCUCAGGAAAAAGCCCAAUGCUAGUGGCUAUAGCAGUAGCAGUAAGAGGACUGGACCUUUCAAAUGUGGAACAUGUUAUCAAUUUUGAUUUGCCAAGUGAUAUUGAAGAAUAUGUAUAUGGCAUUGGCCAUACAAGAUGUGUAGAAAACCUUGGCCUGGCCACCUCGUUCUUUAAUGAGGGGAACAUAAAUAUCACUAAGGAUUUGUUGCAUCUUCUUGUUGAAGCUAAACAAGAAGUGCCAUCUUGGUUAGAAAAUAUGGCUUAUGAACACCACUACCAGGGUAGUAAUUGUGGACGUUCUAAGAGUGGCAGAUUUAGUGGAGGAUUUGGUGCCAGAGGCUACUGACAAAAUAGUGGUGCCAGCCGUUCCAGUUUCAGCAGCAGCCAUGCAAGCAGCAGACACAGUGGUGAAGGUGGCCACGGCAGCAGCAGAAGAUUUGGUGGAGGUGGCUAUGGAGGCUUUUGCAACACUAAUAGAUAUGGAGGAAAUUAUAACUCCCAGAGAGUUGACUGGUGGGUAACUGA